GGCGGACGGGUGAGUAACGCGUAGGAAUCUACCUGGUAGUGGGGGACAACAUUCGGAAGCGGAUGCUAAUACCGCAUACGCCCUACGGGGGAAAGCAGGGGAUCUUCGGACCUUGCGCUAAUAGAUGAGCCUAAGUCAGAUUAGCUAGUUGGUGGGGUAAAGGCCUACCAAGGCGACGAUUUGUAGCGGGUCUGAGAGAUGAUCCGCCACACUGGGACUGAGACACGG
This 228-nucleotide ribosomal RNA is filed under the name Anophryoides haemophila. Its description in RNAcentral is "partial Bacterial small subunit ribosomal RNA". It matches the Rfam family "Bacterial small subunit ribosomal RNA", at positions 97 to 329 of the family's 1533-position model. The record is from RNAcentral. Lineage: Eukaryota; Ciliophora; Oligohymenophorea; Philasterida; Glauconematidae.